GAUGAACGCUGGCGGCGUGCCUAAUACAUGCAAGUCGAGCGAACGGACGAGAAGCUUGCUUCUCUGAUGUUAGCGGCGGACGGGUGAGUAACACGUGGAUAACCUACCUAUAAGACUGGGAUAACUUCGGGAAACCGGAGCUAAUACCGGAUGGUAUUUUGAACCGCAUGGUUCAAAAGUGAAAGACGGUCUUGCUGUCACUUAUAGAUGGAUCCGCGCUGCAUUAGCUAGUUGGUAAGGUAACGGCUUACCAAGGCAACGAUGCAUAGCCGACCUGAGAGGGUGAUCGGCCACACUGGAACUGAGACACGGUCCAGACUCCUACGGGAGGCAGCAGUAGGGAAUCUUCCGCAAUGGGCGAAAGCCUGACGGAGCAACGCCGCGUGAGUGAUGAAGGUCUUCGGAUCGUAAAACUCUGUUAUUAGGGAAGAACAUACGUGUAAGUAACUGUGCACAUCUUGACGGUACCUAAUCAGAAAGCCACGGCUAACUACGUG
Molecule: ribosomal RNA, 497 nt
Filed under: uncultured bacterium
Lineage: Bacteria
Description: partial 16S ribosomal RNA
Rfam family: Bacterial small subunit ribosomal RNA
Source: RNAcentral